UAGAUGGUAGUAUAACUAAUACUUUUUGUUUACACCAAAAAAUUGGCUCUGCCUCAUCUACA
Molecule: transfer RNA, 62 nt
Filed under: Lampsilis powellii
Lineage: Eukaryota; Metazoa; Mollusca; Bivalvia; Unionida; Unionidae
Description: tRNA-Val
Source: RNAcentral